This 343-nucleotide unclassified non-coding RNA is filed under the name soil metagenome. Its description in RNAcentral is "partial contains 5.8S ribosomal RNA, internal transcribed spacer 2, and large subunit ribosomal RNA". The stretch from base 1 to 120 matches the Rfam family "5.8S ribosomal RNA", at positions 35 to 154 of the family's 154-position model. The record is from RNAcentral.
GAUGAAGAACGCAGCGAAAUGCGAUAAGUAAUGUGAAUUGCAGAAUCCAGUGAAUCAUCGAAUCUUUGAACGCACAUUGCGCCCGCCAGCAUUCUGGCGGGCAUGCCUGUUCGAGCGUCAUUUCAACCCUCGACCUCCCCUUGGGGAGGUCGGCGUUGGGGACCGGCAGCACACCGCCGGCCCUGAAAUGGAGUGGCGGCCCGUCUGCGGCGACCUCUGCGUAGUAAUACAGCUCGCACCGGAACCCCGACGCGGCCACGCCGUAAAACACCCAACUUCUGAACGUUGACCUCGAAUCAGGUAGGACUACCCGCUGAACUUAAGCACAUCAAUAAGCGGAGGA